This is a small nuclear RNA of Chiloscyllium plagiosum (whitespotted bambooshark), 109 nucleotides long. NCBI's taxonomy places the organism in Eukaryota, Metazoa, Chordata, Chondrichthyes, Orectolobiformes, Hemiscylliidae. The record is from RefSeq and is a predicted model, not a curated record.
GUGCUUGCUACAGCAGCACGUAUACUAAAGUUGGAAUGAUAUAGAGAAGGUUAGCAUGGCUCCUGCACAAGGAUGACCCACACACAUUUAUAAAGUGUUCUUACUGUGU